GGUUUUCAGAUUUCGCUCUUAAGUGUUUUACUCAGUUGAAUUGUAUUCAGUGCGUCAUUCGCUCUCUCAAAAAGUCACAUAAAAAAAAAAAAAUUAUUAUUGACCGCGUAGUUUUUGAGUUAUGGCCAUAGCAACACCAUAGCAACGAGGGACGCGCCGUCCUGCCGACCCCUACCUCGUGACGUAACUUCCAGGAAGCCUCGCCACCACUCUGAACACGGAAAUAUAGCACCACGCUAUCCUCGCUAUAUAUUGCAAACAUUUUCUGGGUUUUACUCGCGGGAUUCGUCAUGCCAUCUCGAUGUGUAGCGAUAUGAAUUACUCACAGGAAGACUCGAGACUCUAAGAGUGGUCCAAAAAAAACCUUCUCCUGCAAAGCCACGACAGCUUUGAAAACCUACAGCAAUGCAACCUUGGUUUUCCAAAGACGAAGCCAAACAUAAAAAAUUAAGUGGCAGAAACCCUCAACACGAUGAAAAAAGCGUUGCAAGUCAGUUGCCACCCAGUUUCCCAAAAUCAAGAGAGAGUGGGUCAAGUCAUAUGAUGACCGAAGUGAUGCGGUGUCCAGCGAUGACGACUGAAGAGAUCCUAUGAGGCCUGCCAGAUGCUGAAUUUCUUCCGUCUGCGACAUCAGAUGACGAUGAUUUAGGAGAAAUAAAUGUAGCAAAUUUUGAUGACAUGAAAUAAUAAACUAGUCAUAUAUACAGUACACAUUUUUUAAAAGAAAAAUCAAGUUACCUUCAUAUUUUAAUGAAAAUGCAUUGUCUUUGUAUAGAGAACACUUCAUGCUACAGAAAAGAGUAAAUACAUAUUUCCCACUGCCAUUAUCAUUUUUCAAUGUUGCGCUAGUCCGUUGCUAUCCUAACUUUGUGUUGCUUACUAAAAUUAUGCUCUUUGAUGUGUGCCGUUGUGUGCUUGGUAUAACAUGUUGUGUCACAAUCUGACAACGAAAGCUCAUGCUGAUUCAACAUAAACCUGGUAUCAUUUAUUAUUGCGGGCUAUUGAAUAUUUUUUCAGAAUGUAAUAUAAUUACAAUAUAUUAUAUACCAAUAGAAUACAUUAAACAGUCAACAAAAUGUGUCAAUGUUGUUAACAAUUUAUGGUUUUAUUUUUUUAAUGAAAUUCAUGCCCCUGUCGGUGCUUCAGCCGCCACAAGUUUGGCUCUCACGUCUGGGAUCUCCUGAUGACACAGGCAUACUCUUGGAAGGGUAAUUACUUGACGGUUUACAGCAACACCUGGAAAAUAAAAUGGUUUUGUCAUUUAUUUUGAAAUAUCAAUAACAUAUCAUUCAUUUAGCCACAUUUGGGCUAGCAUUAUCAUAUUUAGAUUGGUAGGAGCUGUCCCAUUACCUAAAAUCCAGUUUUAGCUAUGUGUAGAGCAUUCG
Long non-coding RNA from Corythoichthys intestinalis (scribbled pipefish), 1385 nucleotides. RefSeq lists it as uncharacterized. The transcript is spliced from 3 exons. NCBI's taxonomy places the organism in Eukaryota, Metazoa, Chordata, Actinopteri, Syngnathiformes, Syngnathidae. The record is from RefSeq and is a predicted model, not a curated record.